CCCAGGUGCCCCCAGAGGUUUCUACUUUUAUCCAUUAUCUUAAAGUAGUGGUAUCCAGUUAUGAAUUCCAGUACCUCUUAGGGAUGCGGAGAGGUUGACAAUGGGAUGCUUCCAGUUUUUUUCUGAAUACUUUUAAAAGGCUUUGGAAAUUCCAGCACUUACCAUAGUUAGCCACACUUGCUGAUGCGUCCACUAUGUUUUAUUUCAGCCUGUUGGAGUCACCCUGGUUACCUUGUGCUUGAAACGUGCUCAGAACGUGCUUGAAACGUGCCAGAAACGUGUGGGCAGGUCAUGCCUGACAACGACAACUGGGGAGACUCCUCAUCUGUUAGCCAGAACACAGCACGGUGCAAAGUGUCACUCGUCUUCCUACUUGUUCACCGUAAACGGUGGCCGAACACGCCACCCCAAGACGGCCACCCCACUUUGGCAUAAGAUGAUUUGAGCAAAAGGCACUUGAAAAACAGCAGGUACAAGAAGAACGUCCGUAUCUCCCCUUCUUCCUGAGAGCAGGACACAGACCAGGGUGAAGUUGCUGUCCCUGCACCAGGGGGAAGGAAGUGGUCUUGCCAAGGGACGGGAGCCCAGGCCGAGAGAAUUCUUGUUGAAAUAACUCCUAUCCAGGUAUUUUGGAUACUUUCCCACUGUCCCUUUCUGUUCACACUAGCAUGAAACCUCUCGUUUUUGCCAACCCUGGGUCUUUGUUCUCCUUAUGAGGGCUCCCUCCCAUGUGAUGAAAAACUUAUGUAAAAUAAACUUGUGUGCUUUCUCCUGCUAAGUCUCAGGCCCAGGCCAGAGACCCCAAGAGGGUUGAGAGAAUGGCAUUCCUCCCUCCACCAGACGGAGUGCCUCCAGCGCAGGACCCUGUCUGUCUUGCUUCCCUCCCACUGACUCCUCAGUCCCAGAACCCCUCGGGCAGGAAGCGGGGACUGUCUGCCGAGUAAAUGAUCUGUGUCCACAGCACCCACCCAUCUCCUUCCCGCCUCAGCCCAUUCACACUCAGACCAGCAUCAGCAUAAGAGAGGACAGUGGUUUGCUUCCAUGCAUCCUUUAGGAAGACACGUGCCCUUACAGGGCUUGAGCGGCUGACAAACAAGGACUUCUCUGUGUAUACACUGGCACAUACUAAUGCUCCACGUUCCCAGUGGAGCUCCAGGAGCUAAAAAUAACCACGCGUGUUCUGUUUUAUACAGAAAAGAGGAAAUGUGCAGCUUAGUUUGUAACGUUUACUAUUUUUGAAAACCUGAUUUUUUUCCACAUGUAUUUUUAAAAUGUCUUUGGAGAUGUCCUUGCGGGAAAAUGCACAAUGCAGAUUUCACCAAAGGUCCCUCCAUUCUGUAAUCCACAUCUUCAGGAAACAAUUGCUGGAGACCAGAUACACUUGACCACGAGAUGGGUUUUCGGGAAGCCGCCCAGAUGCAGAUCACCAGGGGUCAUAGGAGGGCCAAAGGGCCCCGGGACCUCGGAAGCCAGGUCUCUGCCUAGUCUGCCCCCUGUGCAAGGAGGGGCACACGAUCCCCUGACCACAGGCUGACAGUGGGAGCGCGGGCCUCUGUUAUCCUGAGAGAUGAGCGAGAGGUGACCGUCAUGCAGUGUCGCUCUGACCGCCACUGAGCGCGGUCUUUCGUGAAAAGAUGGGAGGGAGGUGUGUGUGCUAUAGGUCUUCAUCUCGUACUGCGUAUUUGCUCCUUAAGUGAGUGUGGGGAGGGUCUCGGUUUCUAAGGCUCCCCUGUAAGAGACGGCAGGCUAUGAUGGUCAUGAGCUGGUGGUGUUCAGUGUUGUUCGCUGCCCUUCCUUCUCACAGGGACGCUGGAAGGUUAAAAAAUAUGUAAAGAACAAAUGAAGUAAAAAGGAAGAGACACAAGUUGCCUACAGCGCAGGAAGUUGGGAACGUGGGAGCCGUGUUUGUGAAGAAUGUUCGACAACAGUGGAAUCUGUCUAUAGCAUGCUGUUCACGGAGGGCAAGCGGCGGUGUUGGGAUGUGUCCCUUGAUGGUGGCCCAACUUGAGGGGUCCCUGGGCUCCCAGGAGACAGCCAGCCUGGGGGAAUCUCCUCCUGACAGGAGUCUCACUGGACAGACACCUGCACUUCUAGUGGUGGAAUGAGGAUGAGGGAUGUGCACUUUCUGGCCAGAUCGAGGCCCAGGCUCACUGGCCAGUGGUCUUCUGCCACCCUCUGCAGUUCUCCCAGGCAGACCCCAGCACAGAGAUGCAGGUCAUCUCUGUUCUAUAAUACCCAUACGUAGUGAACCCAGUGCCUGAAAUGGAAAGACUGACAGUACUAAGUAUCAGCACGGGUGUGUAGCUGCCGAGAUUCUGCGGGCCUGCAAGUGGAUGUUUCAGGUCCCAGGGCAAUGAGUCGAGAAGCAGAGCUAGGCUGAGUCAAGCCACAGCCCAGGAACUGUGGCGCUGCUCACCCCUUUGCCCUUCCUUCUUCACAAGCAGGAGGCCUGGGCGCCUCGGGAAACAAAUACAUAAGCAGAAAGCAAGGACAGAGGAGUAGCUUCUUGGAAUUUGAUGUAAAAGUUCAGGCCUUAAGUUGGAUGAAGUCAGCGAGAAGGAUUUGGGAGGAAACACGCUAAGUGAGAGCCAGGCCCUUCUGCCUCUGUUCCUCGGGGUGCCGAACGCAGCCAGCUGAGAACUUUGCAUGGGCCUCUCCAGAGGGCUGCUCCAGGACCAGAGCUGGGAGACUGGUCACACUGCAGGAGAACCCAUUCAGGGUCCAAAUAAAGCUCUGCGCAGAUCCCUGCUUGUUUCCGCCCUUUUGCGAAAAUUGAACGUAUGAAUCUCCUCCGUGGCCUUUAUCGAUCAAGGCCAAACCACGAAGAUCGGUUACCACUGUGGAAAGCGAGACAGAGUCAUGAAGCAUGGGAGAAGGAGACCACGCCGUGGUCAGCAAUGCGUCUGGUUGGGAGACUGUCUGGGUUCCCGUGGAUACCUUUCGCCUGCUCACUUCCUGCCAGGUCCUGCUUUGCCCCAACAGCGAAGGCAGGCAACGUGCCGCUCACUGUGUUCACGGAAGCCGGUGUUGGUCUCUUCAGCUGUGACGCCCUUUCUUGCCCAGGCUUCCGGAAUCCCCUCGUCUCAUCUCCGUGGACAUCUUUGUCCUCACACAUCUUUGGUUCCCGUGUGGUUGGUCUCAGGUAGGCAGGAGACAAGGUGGAAAAGGACACAGGACCUGACACUUCCCUGCAGUCUCUUGGUAUGGAGCUGCCGGGGGACCCUGCGGCUUUUAGGUGGGAGAGCCGCUGUGGGCACACACACGGGGCGCGGUCCAUGAGAGCCCCUGGGGUGGCCCCAGGGCAGGUGUGGCUUUUGGAGAUCUGUCUGUGCAAAUGCUCAGCCAAGGGGCAGAUGGCAAGGCCUGCUGGGCAGCUGCUUGGAGUGUGGAAGCUGAGGGAAUGGGACAAAAGGUGUGGCACAGGUGGGAUUGGGCCACGAGCCCCGUGGCACCGGAGAAGGGACAGUCGCGGGUGAACCGUUGGGCUGACAUCCCUGCAUCGAGGGCGCCGGCAAGGCCUCUCCACGUGGGCCUCAGACUCCGCCUGUCCUGCUCGCCCGACCUUCGCGUCUUCCUGCUUC
This is a long non-coding RNA of Lynx canadensis (Canada lynx), 3581 nucleotides long. RefSeq lists it as uncharacterized. The transcript has 8 exons. The record is from RefSeq and is a predicted model, not a curated record. NCBI's taxonomy places the organism in Eukaryota, Metazoa, Chordata, Mammalia, Carnivora, Felidae.